GACCGCGACCCCAGGUCAGACGGGACUACCCGCUGAGUUUAAG
This 43-nucleotide ribosomal RNA is filed under the name Plantago canescens. Its description in RNAcentral is "partial 26S ribosomal RNA". Lineage: Eukaryota; Viridiplantae; Streptophyta; Magnoliopsida; Lamiales; Plantaginaceae. The record is from RNAcentral.